Molecule: ribosomal RNA, 440 nt
Filed under: uncultured bacterium
Lineage: Bacteria
Description: partial 16S ribosomal RNA
Rfam family: Bacterial small subunit ribosomal RNA
Source: RNAcentral
CCUACGGGAGGCUGCAGUGGGGAAUAUUGGACAAUGGGGGAAACCCUGAUCCAGCGACGCCGCGUGAGUGAAGAAGUAUUUCGGUACGUAAAGCUCUAUCAGCAGGAAAGAAAAUGACGGUACCUGAGUAAGAAGCCCCGGCUAACUACGUGCCAGCAGCCGCGGUAAUACGUAGGGGGCAAGCGUUAUCCGGAUUUACUGGGUGGAAAGGGAGCGUAGGCGGUGCGCCAAGUCUGGAGUGAAAUGCCGUAGCUUAACUGCGGAACUGCUGUGGAAACUGGCGAACUAGAGUGCGGGAGGGGUAAGCGGAAUUCGUAGUGUAGCGGUGAAAUGCGUAGAUAGUAGGAGGAACACCGAUGGCGAAGGCAGCUUACUGGAGCGUAACUGACGUUGAGGCUCGAAGGCGUGGGGAGCGAACAGGAUUAGAUACCCGUGUAGUC